Trichomycterus rosablanca is the source of this 957-nucleotide long non-coding RNA. RefSeq lists it as uncharacterized. The transcript has 5 exons. The record is from RefSeq and is a predicted model, not a curated record. NCBI's taxonomy places the organism in Eukaryota, Metazoa, Chordata, Actinopteri, Siluriformes, Trichomycteridae.
UCGAAAAGCUCGAGCGCCCAUUUACCGUCAGUCUACAGGUAACCCAGUCUGAAACAGUCUUAAACAGUGUGGCCUGCAGAAUAUAUUUUGUCUAUUUUAUUACCAGUAACAAAAAGGCUCUGUGAGUGUGUGUGAUCACUGCAGUAAGAGCUAUAGUAAGCUGGGUAGCAGAAGGAACCAGAUGGUCUCAGUGAAAGCCCCUAUUGAGAGAGCCUGUCCUCAGGCCCUGGUACAUAUGCUGAAGAGCAGGCUGUGGCAGAGAAAGCCCCUACCUAUUCAUUUCACAGUAGGUAACCAGCUCAAGUUAUGAAAUAUUGAGGGGUUGUGGUGGCCUCGGUUUCCCCAGAAACACUGGGCACUAGGCAAGAAUUCACCCCGGACAGGACACCGAUCCAUUGCAGGGCUUUGGCCACCCCCACCUCAGGCAUAGUCAAUGAUGUAAUGAUGUCUGUGUAGGCACCAGGCCGGCCGAUAGCACCUGCUAAGAGCUGAUACUAGACAGCUGCACCACUUUCAUGUUCUGGCCUUGAGACCCAGACUGAUGUCCUUACCCUGUACCUGUGCAGUUUCACUGAAUUUAGUACCUCAAAUAUACUACACCUAAAUAUUAACUUAAGGGUUUAAUUGAGUUAUUGGUUAUACUCCCUUUUCAGUAAUAUGUCAUGGUGAUUUAAACAUAUUGCCAUGUCCACCCACUGAGCAAAUCUGUCUCUGUUUCCCACUGACUGUCAGCAGCUGUUUCCAAAUCUAACUGUGUUCUCAGAAAAUAUUCAAUUUUGUAGUAUGUGUCUAUAACAUAUAAAACUUAGUUUUACUUUAUAUAUAAAUAGUUAAAGUGUUAAUGCAUGGCUGGGUGUAAUAAAAAGAUCUGUAAAGUGAUUAAGUUCAGUUCACAAAGUCUAAGAGACCGAAGCAGUGGGUUUUAUUUCAGUGUGCUCCAUCAGAGAUUUGUUUAAU